This 377-nucleotide ribosomal RNA is filed under the name uncultured eukaryote. RNAcentral's name for it is "partial 18S ribosomal RNA". It matches the Rfam family "Eukaryotic small subunit ribosomal RNA", at positions 592 to 976 of the family's 1831-position model. The record is from RNAcentral.
CAAUAGCGUAUAUUUAAGUUGCUGCAGUUAAAAAGCUCGUAGUUGGAUUUCGGGUGGGAAUGGCCGGUCCGCCGUUUCGGUGUGCACUUGCUACGCCCACCUUGCUGCCGGGGACGUGCUCUUGAGUUCUCGCUCGGGACACGGAGUCGGCGAGGUUACUUUGAGUAAAUUAGAGUGUUCAAAGCAGGCCUACGCUCUGAAUACAUUAGCAUGGAAUAACACGAUAGGACUCUGGCCUAUCUUGUUGGUCUGUAGGACCGGAGUAAUGAUUAAGAGGGACAGUCGGGGGCAUUCGUAUUUCAUUGUCAGAGGUGAAAUUCUUGGAUUUAUGAAAGACGAACUACUGCGAAAGCAUUUGCCAAGGAUGUUUUCAUUAA